GCGGUCGUAGCUCAGCAGGAUAGAGCGACGGAUUCCUAAUCCGUAGGCCGUGGGUUCGAAUCCCGCCGAUCGCA
RNAcentral lists this transfer RNA (74 nucleotides) under Candidatus Odyssella acanthamoebae. RNAcentral describes it as "endosymbiont of Acanthamoeba sp. UWC9 tRNA". It matches the Rfam family "tRNA". Rfam says of the family: Transfer RNA (tRNA) molecules are approximately 80 nucleotides in length. Lineage: Bacteria; Pseudomonadati; Pseudomonadota; Alphaproteobacteria; Holosporales; Candidatus Paracaedibacteraceae. The record is from Rfam by way of RNAcentral.